AUUGAACGCUGGCGGCAGGCCUAACACAUGCAAGUCGAGCGAGCGGCGGACGGGUGAGUAAUGUAUGGGGACUGCCCGAUAGAGGGGGAUAACUACUGGAAACGGAGGCUAAUACCGCAUACUAUCGGAUAACCCAUAUGGGAUUAGCUAGUAGGUGGGGUAAAGGAUCCCCUAGGCGACGAUCUCUAGCUGGUCUGAGAGGAUGAACGGCCACACUGGGACGGAAACACGGCCCAGACUCCUACGGAGGCAGCGGUGGGGAAUAUGGCACAAUGGGCUCAGGCCUGAUGCGGCCCUGCAGCGUGGAUGAAGAAGGCCUGAGGGUUGUAAUGUACUUUCAGCGGGGAGGCGUUACCCGCAGAAGAAGCACCGGCUAACUCCGUGCCAGCAGCCGCGGUAAUUC
Molecule: ribosomal RNA, 403 nt
Filed under: uncultured bacterium
Lineage: Bacteria
Description: partial 16S ribosomal RNA
Rfam family: Bacterial small subunit ribosomal RNA
Source: RNAcentral